This 452-nucleotide ribosomal RNA is filed under the name uncultured bacterium. RNAcentral describes it as "bacterial SSU rRNA". It matches the Rfam family "Bacterial small subunit ribosomal RNA", at positions 29 to 524 of the family's 1533-position model. The record is from RNAcentral.
AGCGAACGCUGGCGGCAGGCCUAACACAUGCAAGUCGAGCGCCCGUAGCAAUACGGGAGCGGCAGACGGGAUAGUAACACGUGGGAACGUACCCUUCAGUUCGGAACAACCCAGGGAAACUUGGGCUAAUACCGAAUACGUCCGUAAGGAGAAAGAUUUAUCGCUGAAGGAUCGGCCCGCGUCUGAUUAGCUAGUUGGUGAGGUAAUGGCUCACCAAGGCGACGAUCAGUAGCUGGUCUGAGAGGAUGAUCAGCAUCACUGGGGACUGAGACACGGCCCAGACUCCUACGGGAGGCAGCAGUGGGGAAUAUUGGACAAUGGGCGCAAGCCUGAUCCAGCCAUGCCGCGUGGAUGAUGAAGGCCCUAGGGUUGUAAAGCUCUUUGUGCGGGAAGAUAAUGACGGUACCGCAAGAAUAAGCCCCGGCUAACUUCGUGCCAGCCGCCGCAGUAAC